This 71-nucleotide transfer RNA is filed under the name Ictidomys tridecemlineatus (thirteen-lined ground squirrel). RNAcentral's name for it is "Spermophilus tridecemlineatus (thirteen-lined ground squirrel) tRNA". It matches the Rfam family "tRNA". From Rfam's summary of the family: Transfer RNA (tRNA) molecules are approximately 80 nucleotides in length. Their secondary structure includes four short double-helical elements and three loops (D, anti-codon, and T loops). Lineage: Eukaryota; Metazoa; Chordata; Mammalia; Rodentia; Sciuridae. The record is from Rfam by way of RNAcentral.
GAAGAUGUAGCUCAGUGGUAGAGCAUUUGCCUAAUAUUCACAAGGACCUGGGUCAAUCCCCAGUAUCACCA